AAUAGGAUCGACGGUGGCAAGGCAACGAAGCCGAUGCCAGGCGGCGGAAGAUGCGAGGGAGAGGAUGAAGAUGAAAAGGUUGUUGGGGAGGUGAGUCUGGCAGACAGUGAAGAAUGUGCGUGAGAGAGAGAGCGAGAGAGAAAGAGAGAGGGAGGGAGAUGGGAGAGGGUAAGAGGGAGUCGAGUAGGUAAGGGGAAGAUGUAAAUUGUCUGUAAAGAGGAAUAGGAGGAAGCAUGCGGCGGGUCCCACAUGUGAUUUGCAAAUAUUUUCUAACACUGUAGCGGGCCACACAUAGAGUAAAUGCGGAGAGCGUUUCAAGUUGCCAAAUUAUAAGUUUAUACUUAGGCCAAUUUCUCUGUCAAUAUCCUCUUUUUCACUUACCCCUCUGUCAUUCAAAAAUAUACACUUUGCCCCCUUAAAAAAUAAAAAAUAUUUACUUUGACCCUCACCGUUAAUGUUCCGUUAGGAUUCUGUUUUAUAUCCUAUUUUUUACACCCAAAAUACUUCUGAAACCCUUCUCCUUCCUCAUCCUCAGCUGCACCACCUCGCUCUCGCCUAUCUCUCUGUCCAUGCCCACACACACUCCCUCGUCUGCCUCCGUCGCCUCACCCUCACCCUCGCCCUUGCCUAUCUCUCCGUCCACGCCAACGCCAAAGAAGAUGAGGGACAAUUUGAUCAUUUUGCCACAACGUACCCUCCUAUGAACAAUUUUUAUUUUUUAAGGGGUAAAGAGUAUAGGUUUUUAAAUAACAUGAAAAAAAAAGGGAAAAAAAGGGUAUUGACAGAAAAUUUUCAGUACUUUAAUCUUAUACUU
This 814-nucleotide long non-coding RNA is filed under the name Ananas comosus (pineapple). RNAcentral's name for it is "long non-coding RNA (ACOM_LNC029168)". The record is from RNAcentral. Lineage: Eukaryota; Viridiplantae; Streptophyta; Magnoliopsida; Poales; Bromeliaceae.